This 484-nucleotide ribosomal RNA is filed under the name uncultured bacterium. RNAcentral describes it as "partial 16S ribosomal RNA". It matches the Rfam family "Bacterial small subunit ribosomal RNA", at positions 30 to 507 of the family's 1533-position model. The record is from RNAcentral.
AUUGAACGCUGGCGGCAGGCCUAACACAUGCAAGUCGAGCGGAUGAAGGGAGCUUGCUCCUGGAUUCAGCGGCGGACGGGUGAGUAAUGCCUAGGAAUCUGCCUGGUAGUGGGGGAUAACGUCCGGAAACGGGCGCUAAUACCGCAUACGUCCUGAGGGAGAAAGUGGGGGAUCUUCGGACCUCACGCUAUCAGAUGAGCCUAGGUCGGAUUAGCUAGUUGGUGGGGUAAAGGCCUACCAAGGCGACGAUCCGUAACUGGUCUGAGAGGAUGAUCAGUCACACUGGAACUGAGACACGGUCCAGACUCCUACGGUAGGCAGCAGUGGGGAAUAUUGGACAAUGGGCGAAAGCCUGAUCCAGCCAUGCCGCGUGUGUGAAGAAGGUCUUCGGAUUGUAAAGCACUUUAAGUUGGGAGGAAGGGCAGUAAGUUAAUACCUUGCUGUUCUGACGUUACCAACAGAAUAAGCACCGGCUAACUUCGUG